This 497-nucleotide ribosomal RNA is filed under the name uncultured bacterium. RNAcentral's name for it is "partial 16S ribosomal RNA". It matches the Rfam family "Bacterial small subunit ribosomal RNA", at positions 28 to 507 of the family's 1533-position model. The record is from RNAcentral.
GAUGAACGCUGGCGGCGUGCCUAAUACAUACAAGUCGAGCGAACGGACGAGAAGCUUGCUUCUCUGAUGUUAGCGGCGGACGGGUGAGUAACACGUGGAUAACCUACCUAUAAGACUGGGAUAACUUCGGGAAACCGGAGCUAAUACCGGAUAAUAUUUUGAACCGCAUGGUUCAAAAGUGAAAGACGGUCUUGCUGUCACUUAUAGAUGGAUCCGCGCUGCAUUAGCUAGUUGGUAAGGUAACGGCUUACCAAGGCAACGAUGCAUAGACGACCUGAGAGGGUGAUCGGCCACACUGGAACUGAGACACGGUCCAGACUCCUACGGGAGGCAGCAGUAGGGAAUCUUCCGCAAUGGGCGAAAGCCUGACGGAGCAACGCCGCGUGAGUGAUGAAGGUCUUCGGAUCGUAAAACUCUGUUAUUAGGGAAGAACAUAUGUGUAAGUAACUGUGCACAUCUUGACGGUACCUAAUCAGAAAGCCACGGCUAACUACGUG